This 71-nucleotide transfer RNA is filed under the name Acidiferrobacteraceae bacterium. Its description in RNAcentral is "tRNA-Gln". It matches the Rfam family "tRNA". Rfam says of the family: Transfer RNA (tRNA) molecules are approximately 80 nucleotides in length. The record is from RNAcentral. Lineage: Bacteria; Pseudomonadati; Pseudomonadota; Gammaproteobacteria; Acidiferrobacterales; Acidiferrobacteraceae.
UGGGGGAUGGUGUAACGGUAGCACGUGGCGCUCUGACCGCCCCAGUCCAGGUUCGAAUCCUGGUCCCCCAG